RNAcentral lists this ribosomal RNA (442 nucleotides) under uncultured bacterium. RNAcentral describes it as "partial 16S ribosomal RNA". It matches the Rfam family "Bacterial small subunit ribosomal RNA", at positions 338 to 795 of the family's 1533-position model. The record is from RNAcentral.
CCUACGGGAGGCAGCAGUAGGGAAUCUUUCACAAUGGGCGAAAGCCUGAUGGAGCAACGCCGCGUGCAGGAUGAAGGCCUUCGGGUUGUAAACUGCUUUUAUAAGCGAGAAAUAUGAUGGUAACUUAUGAAUAAGGAUCGGCUAACUACGUACCAGCAGCCGCGGUCAUACGUAGGGUCCGAGCAUUAUCCGGAGUGACUGGGUGUAAAGAGUUGCGUAGGUGGCAUAAUAAGUAGCUAGUGAAAUCUGGUGGCUCAACCAUUCAGACUAUUAGCUAAACUGUUAAGCUCGAGACCGUUAGGGGUAAGUGGAAUUUCUAGUGUAGGAGUGAAAUGCGUAGAUAUGAGAAGGAACACCAAUAGCGUAGGCAGGUUACUGGGACGGUUCUGACACUAAGGCACGAAAGCGUAGGGAGCAAACGGGAUUAGAUACCCGAGUAGUC